Molecule: ribosomal RNA, 492 nt
Filed under: uncultured bacterium
Lineage: Bacteria
Description: partial 16S ribosomal RNA
Rfam family: Bacterial small subunit ribosomal RNA
Source: RNAcentral
AGUGAACGCUGGCGGUAGGCCUAACACAUGCAAGUCGAACGGCAGCACAGUAAGAGCUUGCUCUUACGGGUGGCGAGUGGCGGACGGGUGAGGAAUACAUCGGAAUCUACUUUUUCGUGGGGGAUAACGUAGGGAAACUUACGCUAAUACCGCAUACGACCUACGGGUGAAAGCAUGGGAUCUUCGGACCUUGCGCGAUUGAAUGAGCCCAUGUCGGAUUAGCUAGUUGGCGGGGUAAAGGCCCACCAAGGCGACGAUCCGUAGCUGGUCUGAAAGGGUGAACAGCCACACUGGAAAUGAGGAAAGGUCCAGACUCCUAAGGGGAGCAACAGUGGGGAAUAUUGGGCAAUGGGCGCAAGCCUGAUCCAGCCAUACCGCGUGGGUGAAGAAGGCCUUCGGGUUGUAAAGCCCUUUUGUUGGGAAAGAAAAGCAGCAGGUUAAUACCCCGCUGUUCUGACGGUACCCAAAGAAUAAGCACCGGCUAACUUCGUG